RNAcentral lists this ribosomal RNA (735 nucleotides) under Acinetobacter oryzae. RNAcentral's name for it is "bacterial SSU rRNA". It matches the Rfam family "Bacterial small subunit ribosomal RNA", at positions 8 to 737 of the family's 1533-position model. The record is from RNAcentral. Lineage: Bacteria; Pseudomonadati; Pseudomonadota; Gammaproteobacteria; Moraxellales; Moraxellaceae.
AGAGUUUGAUCAUGGCUCAGAUUGAACGCUGGCGGCAGGCUUAACACAUGCAAGUCGAGCGGGGAAAGGUAGCUUGCUACCUGACCUAGCGGCGGACGGGUGAGUAAUGCUUAGGAAUCUGCCUAUUAGUGGGGGACAACAUUCCGAAAGGAAUGCUAAUACCGCAUACGCCCUACGGGGGAAAGCAGGGGAUCUUCGGACCUUGCGCUAAUAGAUGAGCCUAAGUCAGAUUAGCUAGUUGGUGGGGUAAAGGCCUACCAAGGCGACGAUCUGUAGCGGGUCUGAGAGGAUGAUCCGCCACACUGGGACUGAGACACGGCCCAGACUCCUACGGGAGGCAGCAGUGGGGAAUAUUGGACAAUGGGCGAAAGCCUGAUCCAGCCAUGCCGCGUGUGUGAAGAAGGCCUUUUGGUUGUAAAGCACUUUAAGCGAGGAGGAGGCUACUUAGAUUAAUACUCUAGGAUAGUGGACGUUACUCGCAGAAUAAGCACCGGCUAACUCUGUGCCAGCAGCCGCGGUAAUACAGAGGGUGCGAGCGUUAAUCGGAUUUACUGGGCGUAAAGCGUGCGUAGGCGGCUUCUUAAGUCGGAUGUGAAAUCCCUGAGCUUAACUUAGGAAUUGCAUUCGAUACUGGGAAGCUAGAGUAUGGGAGAGGAUGGUAGAAUUCCAGGUGUAGCGGUGAAAUGCGUAGAGAUCUGGAGGAAUACCGAUGGCGAAGGCAGCCAUCUGGCCUAA